Molecule: ribosomal RNA, 169 nt
Filed under: uncultured soil bacterium
Lineage: Bacteria
Description: partial 16S ribosomal RNA
Rfam family: Bacterial small subunit ribosomal RNA
Source: RNAcentral
CCUACGGGAGGCAGCAGUGGGGAAUAUUGGACAAUGGGCGCAAGCCUGAUCCAGCCAUGCCGCGUAAGUGAUGAAGGCCUUAGGGUUGUAAAGCUCUUUCACCAGAGAAGAUAAUGACGGUAUCCGGAGAAGAAGCCCCGGCUAACUUCGUGCCAGCAGCCGCGGUAAU